Rhineura floridana is the source of this 645-nucleotide long non-coding RNA. RefSeq lists it as uncharacterized. Lineage: Eukaryota; Metazoa; Chordata; Lepidosauria; Squamata; Rhineuridae. The record is from RefSeq and is a predicted model, not a curated record. The transcript has 3 exons.
UUCCUGCACCUGUGAAAGCUUUUGCCACUUUUGCAUUUGUCAUUUCUGUUCACCUCUUGGAUGCCACGAGACUGUGCAUUGUUUUUGCCACAACAGACGCGUGCGGGGCUCUCUCUCUGAUUCUCACCUUGUCGUAUGUAAUUGUGCCAGUGUGCACCCUGAGUAGAUUUUUGUUUGUUUUGCAUUUGAAAGAAGCCUAAUUGACUGCAUAAGAAAUGUUUAGAGUGGGGUGGAAUACUUACGGAAAUAUGAACGUUGUUACUUUUGCGUUUCAAUCAGAGUGGGAAUAUCGGUUGGGUGCAGAAACCGUUGCCUUCAGGGAGUGGGGACCUCGGCCUGCUCUGCAGCCUGAAUGCGCCUUCAAACUCGAUACUCUUGCUUUCCUGGAGGAGCAAAGAGAAGGGCGUGGAAGUGCCUGCAGAAGCCAGCAUGUAGGAAUUUUGCAAAGGCAAUACUGAGACUGAGGAGGAAGAGGAAGCUGACAGGCCCUGCCAUCAUUUGGACUGGAUGUUGCACUUAAAAGAUAAAUAAACUCUUGAGCAAUAAAGAAAAUAUUUUGCUCCUGACAAAAAUAAAUAAGGCAGUACACAAUAUUCAUAAAAUACCAUUAUGCAGAAACGUUAUAAUAAACAGGUACAACAAAGU